Podarcis muralis (Common wall lizard) is the source of this 1788-nucleotide non-coding RNA. The record is from RefSeq and is a predicted model, not a curated record. Lineage: Eukaryota; Metazoa; Chordata; Lepidosauria; Squamata; Lacertidae.
CAGAAAGGUAUAUUUAAAUACCCUUUUAAUUCCAUUAUAGAUCAUUUCCCAAAAGGCCUUGAUCUUACGUCUCACGCCUUCGGCCGUCUCUUAGUCCCCACACGAUCCCAGGAGCGCGACGUGGAAGUGUGUGGACACCCGCAAAGCAUCAGCUCCGCUUGUCUUUCUGCCGGCCUCUGCGAUUCCUCAGCAGCAGAAGCACCUGCACCAAGGCAGCCGCAAGAUGUGCAACUUCUGCCCAUCUGCCACUGAAGCACACAGCAAAACAGUAUGAACGUAUGACAUAGAUAAAAUUCAGCUUUCGCUUUCAGUCAACUCAGCACAAACAGAGAUGGAGAAUUGCAAACAACAUAAAGGUUAUAAGCAACCUCAGAGCUAUUAAACAUUUUUCAAGUGCUGAGAUGAAAUCCUCCCCGGAGAACUUACAGCUGUAAUAUGUGGGAAAGAAAACUGGCAUCUCCAAAAUUGGGGGCACUGGAAGGAGGCUGCCAUCGCCCCCCCCGCCAGGUAUGCUCUGGGAUGGCUCUGCAGCAAGAGAAGGCCCUGAGGAAGCCAGCACAUCACCCAGGAGAAAACGGCCUACAAUUGCUGAAGAGACAACAGAAAAUCUGCAGCCCGGCAGCCCCUUGCUCCAAACCUUCAAAGCAAAUUGCACUGCUCUCGUUACUUCUAGAAACAUAAAACAUCGGUUCCUAGUGAAGUAGUCCCAGGUGAAACACAUGUUAUUCCUGAAUAAGACUAUAUUAAGACUACUCUCUAAGCUUCUCAUUACAGAUUUGAAUCAAUGUAUUAUCAGACUUCAGGUUAACCCAAAGUUCUCUUUGAGAUCAAAUGCAUGUGACCUGUAACUAACCCAAGAAAUAAGACUUAUUCCCAUAUACAGAUGUCUGUGCCACUUGUAGAAACUUGCCUCAAGUGCCUGUGAUGUGCUGCUGGGAUGCCCGCCUCCUCAAUUUUAUUUAUUCAUCAUGAAAGGCAUCCUUGUUUCAUUACAUGUUGCAGACUUCAUUCAUUAUAAAUCAGAAUAAAACCUCAAUUGAAUGCACUUAUCCCCAGCAGGGGAUCACAUUUCUGGAGAAUCUGAUCUUCUAUGACUAAAAGCUGACAAAUCAUUGGAGUAUAAUUCCUCAUUUAUGCAAUAACUGUAAUCCUCUAAAAAUUUGUGCUGAUUAAAUAGCACAUGCAACAGAUUCAGACUGUGAGCAACCAGAACAGCCCCUGCACAAAGGAGGAACUACAAAGUGGAUUUACAACUGCAAAGUGGAUUUACUACAAGAAGGAGCAGCAACCAUUUUCUAGACUUUGAACUAACAAGUAGCUGCUUCUAAAUAAAAGAAUUAAAUGUGGAAUGUAGAACUUUUAUUUGAUCCUCUGGGCUUGGUUAUGAACCUUAAACAUCUUUCCCCACCCUUGCCCACAUUAAAAUGAUUCUGACCGUUUCAUUCUGAAGUUCAUUCCUUUUCAUGACUGUUUAGCACAAUCAUUUCUGGAGCAUCCUUGAGAAACUGAAUAGGGCUUGUGUCAAUCUGAAAGGGGGACGGGGAAGAGUCUCCAUCUUUUGAAAAAUAAAACCUGUAGUGUUCCUGUCAUGCUCCUUGGUGCCCCCCCCUCCGACUAGUGGGUGAGGGACACAGAGAGCAUUCUCAGCACACCCAGAGCAGGCAAGCCAAGAGCAGGCAUGCAGCGUUGCCAUCUGAUUUGGAUUUUACUUCUGAUCCUGAUCUGAUUUGAGGAUGUAUUUUAAUUGAUUGCCUGAUUUUAUGUUAAUGUGUUAUACAUUUGAUGUUA